RNAcentral lists this long non-coding RNA (1246 nucleotides) under Homo sapiens (human). RNAcentral's name for it is "PACRG antisense RNA 3". The record is from RNAcentral. Lineage: Eukaryota; Metazoa; Chordata; Mammalia; Primates; Hominidae.
GAAAUCAAUUCAACAACAACUGCCCCGGUGCUUCCCCGUAGAUAGCACCGCUGGUCAGUUCGGGAGGGGAUGGGACAUUGAGGAGCAGGACAGUCUUCAGGAAGCUUACAGUCUGCUUUGGGUUGUUUCAGGAACACAGUCAUCCCUCAGAAAUGGAUUGGGUGACAAGUGGUCUGCAUGCUGCACACGGGCACUGGGUCUCUGAAUGUAACCAAAUUGUUCUCCUCUUAUCAUUCCCAUUCACUGGUGUACUUGUUUGUGGAGCCUGCAGAACUGCCUUUUUCAAGAAUGGCAGCUUGGCCUCUAAAUCUGCUUCCCACUGAUGGGAAGAGCUGACAGAAGCUUUAGAGAGGCACAGGGUGAGUUCCUAAAACCAGAGUCAACACACACUCUUCAUCUGUUUUGUGCUUCACUCCCUGCUCAUCUUCCUAAAACACUGAGUUUGGUCAUAUCAUGUCCUACAAGUUGUCAAUGAUUUCCCAUGAUCUUGUCUUCAGGAUAAAGUUCCUUAGUCAAAAGCAAUGAAGACCUGACCUAAUCUGUAAGGCAAAAUCAACACUUUUUAGCCUGGCCUUCCAUGCCCUUCCAUGCCCUUCGAGCCCCCAGAGCACCCAUGGCAGUCCAUCUCUCUCUACUUGUCCAGAGGGACACUCUCUUAGAGCCAGUGGCUCCUACUCACGGUUCCCCGAACACGUCGUGGGAAUGUUUGCCUUCAUACCUUCCCAGAUCAUUUUCCUGAUCUCAGACACCCUCCGUCCUCAUUCAUUCACUCUUCAAUUGUCCAACAAAUAUUUGUUGCUCAUGCAACCUGGAUCACCCACAUAGUUUCAAGACUGCAUCUUCUAAACUAUUUAAAUCCUAUCCAUUCUUCAAGAAAUGUUUCAUGACGCUUCCUUAACUGCUAAGGACCCGCAGAUUCUCUUCCUCUUGGGACUCACACACUGACUCAUCUCCCGAUCUUUUGGUGCUCAGCAAAGUGGAGGCUUCUGUUUUGGACUUAGAGUCAAGACCAUUAAAUAAGACUAUGCUCUAAAAAGUACACCUCCGUGGCCCGGAACGAGUGAAUUAACAUCUAUGAGUUUCCAUUUCCUUGUCUAUAAAAUUGUGAAAUUGCAACUUAAGAUUAGUUCUGAAGAUUAAAUGAGGUAACAUAGGUGAAAAUGCUACAUUUAUGUAAGAAAUUACUCUUUCAUAAGGAUGUCAAUGUUUAAAUACGCAUUUUCUCAAUUUUGUUAAUGAAAUACUU